Molecule: long non-coding RNA, 571 nt
Filed under: Homo sapiens (human)
Lineage: Eukaryota; Metazoa; Chordata; Mammalia; Primates; Hominidae
Description: SAP30BP antisense RNA 1, transcript variant 1 (SAP30BP-AS1)
Source: RNAcentral
CCUUUCUGACUCCUGCUCAGAUCCGGUUAUCACCCAGCAGGCCCCUAGAACCCCCAGAACCCUAGACCUCAGGCUGGGGUAGGUUCUUCCCAGCACAGCCACUCCACGAGCUUCUGGAAAUUCCAUGUCUCCCAGCUGUGCAAGGCAACCCUAGUGUUGUUGAGGAAAAGCCUAAAGAAGACCAUCCAUCGUGUUGAGCGCAGGGAAGUGCCGAAUGCUACGUAGGCUUGGGCAUUCUCAAUAGUUCAAGGCCCACAUUACAACUUCCAAGAGAAGGGUGGUGGAUGGCUCACAAACCAGCAAUGGUCAAGGGCCAUUUCCUUCUCUGGUCCUGGCCUAGAGACUUCCUGGGGACUCACAGAAAAAAUGCUACCAAAUCCUGAACUCUACCCAGCUCUUCUCCCUUCCUGGGGGAACAACCAUGUGGACUUCCAAUAAGAACACGAGCUUAAAGAACGAGUUAUUCCUUCUGACCCAAGUAAAGCACAUGGCCCAUUUCCUGUUCACCAGAGAACUUCAUUAGAGGGAAACUGCAGACAUAGCAUUCAAUUAUAAAAACCUAUUCAGAUUU